Molecule: ribosomal RNA, 460 nt
Filed under: uncultured bacterium
Lineage: Bacteria
Description: partial 16S ribosomal RNA
Rfam family: Bacterial small subunit ribosomal RNA
Source: RNAcentral
CCUACGGGCGGCAGCAGUGAGGAAUAUUGGUCAAUGGACGAGAGUCUGAACCAGCCAAGUAGCGUGAAGGAUGACUGCCCUAUGGGUUGUAAACUUCUUUUAUAUGGGAAUAAAAUGUUCCACGUGUGGGAUUUUGUAUGUACCAUAUGAAUAAGGAUCGGCUAACUCCGUGCCAGCAGCCGCGGUAAUACGGAGGAUCCGAGCGUUAUCCGGAUUUAUUGGGUUUAAAGGGAGCGUAGGUGGAUUGUUAAGUCAGUUGCGAAAGUUUGCGGCUCAACCGUAAAAUUGCAGUUGAAACUGGCAGUCUUGAGUACAGUAGAGGUGGGCGGAAUUCGUGGUGUAGCGGUGAAAUGCUUAGAUAUCACGAAGAACUCCGAUUGCGAAGGCAGCUCACUGGACUGCAACUGACACUGAGGCUCGAAAGUGUGGGUAUCAAACAGGAUUAGAUACCCUUGUAGUC